This 434-nucleotide ribosomal RNA is filed under the name uncultured bacterium. RNAcentral describes it as "partial 16S ribosomal RNA". It matches the Rfam family "Bacterial small subunit ribosomal RNA", at positions 29 to 507 of the family's 1533-position model. The record is from RNAcentral.
AGCGAACGCUGGCGGCAGGCCUAACACAUGCAAGUCGAACGAACCUUUCUGUUUUAGUGGCGGACGGGUGAGUUACCCCUUGGAACGUUCCUUUUGGUUCGGAAUCACUCAGUGAAACUUGUUCUUAUUCCGACUUUGCCCUUCGGGCGAAAGAUUAAUCGCCUUUAGAGCGGCCCGCGUCUGUUUUGCUCGUGGUUUUAGGUAAUGGCCCACCAAAGCGACGAAGCGUAGCCUGUUUGAGAGGAUGAUCAGACACAGUGGGACUGAGACACGGCCCAAACUCAUACGAGAGAGAGGAGUGGGAAAUCUUGCGCAAUGGGAGAAAGCCUGACGCAGCCAUGGCGCGGGAAUAAUGAAGGUAUGAGGAGUGUAAAAUUCUUUCACCAGAGAAGAUAAUGACGGUACCCGGAGAAGAAGCCCCGGCUAACUUCGUG